RNA transcript from Branchiostoma floridae (Florida lancelet), 4449 nucleotides. RefSeq lists it as uncharacterized. The transcript has 5 exons. The record is from RefSeq and is a predicted model, not a curated record. Lineage: Eukaryota; Metazoa; Chordata; Leptocardii; Amphioxiformes; Branchiostomatidae.
UAUUCAACAGAUUUUCACAAAUCUGUCAUGUUUGAAACAGGGCUUUAUAAGUUCCUUCUCGAAAAGGUCUCAGUACCUCGCGACUGCCUCGUGACGCCUAAGGGCAUCUUGUCGUCAGGUCGUAAUUUGCAUACAGCUGAUCGUGUGUGACCAAGGAGGGACACAGAUAAGUACCGUACACGCACGCAACACCUGUCACUACCCACACAAACAAAAGCGGACACGGCCACGAAGGAACAAAGGGCUCGGCUUGAGAACGGUGUUACUUCUGAUUAGACUUCUUAAAAGUACUGCGACUGCUUCCGAGCUAUCCGUGAUACAAGGAUUCACUCCCGGCACAAGACGAAAAGAAACAUGGUUUUUAACUCAUCGCCAGUUGUGACCGAUAGCGCCAUCUAUGUCGGCGGCGCUAGAGUGGAACGCACGGUAAACAAGCUACAAGAGGAAUCAUUCAAGGACCAACUGUCUUGUCUGGUCAGGGACAUCUGGAAGCGUCUUGGAACCAAACGGGAACAAAAAUGCGUCAAGAUUUGGAAUCUCCACGACUGAUUUUCCGCACCUACCUGAAGUGAGGUGUCUUCCAACUAGAAUCUCACACCACCCACACCAAACCUGAAGACACUGGGCGAAAAGUAGAGAUAUAAAUUUUUGUUCUUUGUAAAAGCAGGCCAACGGGAUUUUUGAAGCCUGGAAAGUUGGAAACUGGAAAGUUGAAUUUGUAAAAUAGAAGAAUCGUCAACAAGAGUGAGCCCGCAAAAUGGGUAACAUGACCGCACGGGUAAAUGAUAACCUAUAUGGAGGUCAAACUCCACCGCCAAUGUUUUCUCCUUAUUCCAAGGCUUGUCUUAGUUAGCCUAGUAGAGACUAUGGCCCUUGCUCUUUUGUCAGUACCUAGUAUAUGAGGAGGAAUCUGGUAGAUUUUCACCUGUAUAUGUCAUCUUUAACUUGAGGCAGAGAAGUAGUCUUCUUUGUUUGCUGUAUCUGAUAUCUUUAUUACACUUUUUGCCCUGUUGUCUGAAUGUGUCGAAUUCAAAUGUAAAUGUGAAGAUUAUAGGGCGGUUCACAAACGUGGAUAUGCGCUAGUCUAAAUUUACAUUAUCUGUUUUAGCACGGUAGGAUGAAGAUUACUUGUUAUAGAGUAUUGGUUCCUGGAAAUAUCUUGAUAUUCAAGAGGCAUAACUGGUAAACAUUAUAAAAGUUUCAUAGUUUGGUGUAGAAUGUUGAUUAUAAAGAACAUCACGAUAAUCAUGAUGUGUAACGUACAAAGCACAAACUACAUGACUUCAUCAAGUAUUUCGAUGGUGUAGUUACUAUAGUCUAGAUAUAUCAUUCAUUACUGCAUCGUUGAAGGUGCAACUUGACACAAGGUCUAUACUUCUCACUUUCCACUAUAUCCAUACAAAUACAAACAGGUCUGAAUGGUCCAUGUGUUACUUAUAAUUACCUCGAACAUCCAUAAAUGUUUGUAUUUAUUUAAAUCCUUGCAUAAAAAGAGUGUUAACUUUAUAUCUCCUUUUAUUGUUAUUCUUGCUCGUGUCAAAAUGAUACAUAUUGUUCUCAUCGCUAGUUAACUUAUUUCAUAACAAAAUAAACGGAGUUUUACUUGCAAAUUGCAGCUUGUCACUGUCCAUACACGUCUUCAAAAAUCGGACACAAUGAAUCUACAGCAAUGUAUUUUAGAUACAGGUCGAUUAGACAACGUAAGAUUUUUGAAGACUUUGCCCAAUUUGGUAGCCAAUAGAUUCAGAAGGUUCGGUCAUGAAGAAAGCUGCGAGAUCAAAGAAGGUUGUCUCAUACAAUGAGCAGUUACAUUUCGUACUUAGAGUCACAUGCUUGAUACAAGAAAAUGAUUAUCUUUAAAUCUGAGGGGGGUCCGGUUUGUGUCCCGUACAUAUAUGUCACAGAGACAGGUCACACUGGCACUGUCAGCAGGGGGCAGUGACCAGUUGCUGGUUAAAAUGUGUAUCAAUAUAUUUCAAGAAGUGACAAGUGGGAAGCAAGCAUACCUCUGUACCUUUAUCACCCCCUUCUCAUAACACCACAGUGGUAAAAAAAAUGACAAAAGACAUUUGAAAGUGGUUAAUUCAUCUUGGUGUAUCAUUGUAGCCAGUAGGUACCCAAUCUGAGUAAUGGGGCUCUUUGGCAUGCUCGAGGCACUUCCUCCAACACGUGACUGCAAUCCCUUACUCUUGCAACAUGUCCGAGCUGAUCUGACCCUGGGAUCGAACUCAGGUCUACAGAUCCACGGAAUUGGAUCCAGAUGGCCGUAAAAGAACGGAUGGAAAAACACUAGCUGCAACGAGCACACAUUAGUACCGAUAUCCUUGUAUUAAAACACAGCUGCAAUGUCAUGAAAUGAUGCCAAGAGUCAAAGUUCGUGAAACGUUAACAUGCUCUCGAACGUUGAAACGUUAACAUGCUCACGAACGUUGACCCAAAAAAAGUGGCCAAGCAGCGGGGUUACUUAACUGCUGAGCAGAAGAGACAUAUAACUACUGUCACGUCGUGCACAGACCACGUACACGAGAUACAGCGUGAAUCCUGUAUUUUGAUUUUAAGUAGUAGAUUAUUGUUUUCUUAAAUGUACUGUCAAUUGUUCGUCCUUAUUGGCCGCAGUGCCUGACAAUGAACAGUCAACAGACAACAAUUUAGGAAGAUGAUUAUCUUUAAAUGGAUGUGAGGGUCAUCCGGUGAUGUCACAAGAAGAAGGUCACACUUACACUGUGUAUGUGAUUGUCUAUGUAAAUGAACGGGUGGAAAAAGCUUCAGUAUACUCAAGCUGUUUCCUACAAAUAAUCACCGUAUCUAACAAUAUUCUGAUGCUACUAGAAGACAUACACCUGCCUACGUACGUUCAGGAGUGUUUAUCUGUGCUUAUCGCGGAAGAAAACAACAUGAUAAUAGCAGGUCACACUUAUAAUUUUAGGCGGGCGAGUCAAUGACCUCACGGUAAGCUUGUUAGAUGGUUAUUAAUAACCCGUCUUAUGACAUUACAUCAUCUUAAAUGUGAGGGACGUCUAGAACGACCCAAAUACUCAGCCGAGUGCCCGAGUGCUCCUUUGUUCUGGAGCGGUCAUCCAUACAGUUCGUGGAAGCAAAUUAUCCCCCAACAAAGGGCCGUCCAAUCCUGUACCAGUACUGCGCGAGCCAGUUUGACACAGUCAGUCGCUUGCGAAGCAGUCGCCUCAGAUUUGUCUCUGUAAGGUUUCUCACGAGGAGUAAGAUAGCCGGGUGUCGAGGCAAUAGUUUUACUCGUCCCAUCACAGUUCAGCUAGUUUUGGAUCAAAACAGGAUGGUUUUCAACACCGGUUCAGUGGUUAUCGUGGGCGGGAGAAUCCGCGUGUACUCCGGAGGGGUGGGUGUCGACUGCGGUUACAACAAGCGGGAGGAAGGUUCGUCCGACACGCCGAUUUCUGAGCGUCUCCAAGCUACGCUUGAAGCCUUCAAGAAGAUGUUUCAAGACACUUUCCGUAGAAGGUCAUCUGCAACUGCUGGCGAUCACGAAAAGGAGGUUACGGGACAUCCAGCCUAGCCUAGGGCGCCGGGCGUCGUGGUGGUGUACGUGCCGAGCGGCGCGUUCCACGGGGCGGGUUAGAGGCUGUCCGACUGGUCAGUCUCCAAUGAAUGAAUCGAUCUUUGUUGUACAAAGGUUUAAAUCUCCGACCAGACAUGAUGAAACAGUUGGCUUUUUAUUUUAGUCAUUUUCUAUAUUUCUUAGCCGUGCUGCAUGCUUUUGGGUGGAUGGUGGCAAAGAGUUACAAAGCUGUUCUUCUACGAAGACGUACUGCAAAAAGCAAAAAAUAGUUGGGCUGUUACAUCCGUGUUUGAGAUUACCUAAUUACAUUUCACAAAUGGAAAAAGAAGCGUUUUCAAAUAUGAUGAUAGUACAUCGUAUAAGCUAGUUUGGGUACUGCAUUCUAGGACGUGGAGUCGACUUCUUUUUGCUUCUAUGUAAAGGUGGUGGUGAGAGCAGAUGGUUUAAAUGUUUGUCUCUAAGCGUAAUCUAAAUGUGUCCAUGUCACAUACUAAGGUUACCAUUCAACAAUGAAUCUAGGAAUAAACUGAUACCCUAACGUGAAAAUAGGACAAGUGCGGAUUAGUGAGAAUCAAUUACCCAACAUUCGCGCUAUAUUAUUCAGCAACUUUCCAGUCACGUCAAACAUAAAACUACUACAUGAAACAAAAUGACGCUGAUUUGUCAAUACUUUGUUUCUAUUCGUGUAAAUGAUUAGGUAAAACGAAAUAUCUACCACGGAUGAUACUAACCUAUAUCAUUGGUUAUUAAUAUGCAAGUUCAUGUUUUAGUGUGCUUGGUUAUUAAACGUUUUAUAACUUAAUUGUAGAUGUUGGAUCAAAAGUUGCAAUUCAAAGAUGUUACAACAAGACACAAUUCAGUCUGUAACGGCAAGACACUUGUUUUAUCAAUAAACCAUUUGAUCAAUAGAUUGA